This 406-nucleotide ribosomal RNA is filed under the name uncultured bacterium. RNAcentral's name for it is "partial 16S ribosomal RNA". It matches the Rfam family "Bacterial small subunit ribosomal RNA", at positions 29 to 526 of the family's 1533-position model. The record is from RNAcentral.
AUUGAACGCUGGCGGCAGGCCUAACACAUGCAAGUCGAGCGAGCGGCGGACGGGUGAGUAAUGUCUGGGAAACUGCCGGAUGGAGGGGGAAAACAACUGGAACGGGUAGCUAAUACCGCAUACCAUCAGAUGGGCCCAGAUGGGAUUAGCUAGUGGGUGGGGUAACGGCUCACCUAGGCGACGAUCCCUAGCUGGUCUGAGAGGAUGACCAGCCACACUGGAACUGAGACACGGUCCAGACUCCUACGGGAGGCAGCAGUGGGGAAUAUUGCACAAUGGGCGCAAGCCUGAUGCAGCCAUGCCGCGUGUGUGAAGAAGGCCUUCGGGUUGUAAAGCACUUUCAGCGGGGAGGCGUUACCCGCAGAAGAAGCACCGGCUAACUCCGUGCCAGCAGCCGCGGUAAUAC